RNAcentral lists this ribosomal RNA (253 nucleotides) under uncultured bacterium. RNAcentral's name for it is "partial 16S ribosomal RNA". It matches the Rfam family "Bacterial small subunit ribosomal RNA", at positions 524 to 776 of the family's 1533-position model. RNAcentral also lists the same sequence under 1 other name. The record is from RNAcentral.
UACAGGGGGGGCAAGCGUUGUUCGGAAUUACUGGGCGUAAAGGGCUCGUAGGCGGCCAACUAAGUCACACGUGAAAUCCCCAGGCUUAACCUGGGAACUGCGUGUGAUACUGGAUGGCUUGAAUUCGGGAGAGGGAUGCAGAAUUCCAGGUGUAGCGGUGAAAUGCGUAGAUAUCUGGAGGAAUACCGGUGGCGAAGGCGGCAUCCUGGACCGACAUUGACGCUGAGGAGCGAAAGCUAGGGGAGCAAACGGG